AACGAACGCUGGCGGCAGGCCUAACACAUGCAAGUCGAGCGCCCUUUCGGGGGAGCGGCGGACGGGUGAGUAACGCGUGGGAAUAUGCCCUUCUCUACGGAAUAGCCUCGGGAAACUGAGAGUAAUACCGUAUACGCCCUGUGGGGGAAAGAUUUAUCGGGGAAGGAUUAGCCCGCGUUGGAUUAGGUAGUUGGUGGGGUAAUGGCCUACCAAGCCGACGAUCCAUAGCUGGUUUGAGAGGAUGAUCAGCCACACUGGGACUGAGACACGGCCCAGACUCCUACGGGAAGCAGCAGUGGGGAAUCUUAGACAAUGGGGGCAACCCUGAUCUAGCCAUGCCGCGUGAGUGAUGAAGGCCUUAGGGUUGUAAAGCUCUUUCAGCUGGGAAGAUAAUGACGGUACCAGCAGAAGAAGCCCCGGCUAACUCCGUG
RNAcentral lists this ribosomal RNA (431 nucleotides) under uncultured bacterium. RNAcentral describes it as "partial 16S ribosomal RNA". It matches the Rfam family "Bacterial small subunit ribosomal RNA", at positions 29 to 507 of the family's 1533-position model. The record is from RNAcentral.